RNAcentral lists this non-coding RNA (45 nucleotides) under Schistosoma mansoni. Lineage: Eukaryota; Metazoa; Platyhelminthes; Trematoda; Strigeidida; Schistosomatidae. The record is from RNAcentral.
AUCCAGCUAAUGAGUCCCAAAUAGGACGAAACGUAUGUCCUGGAU